Molecule: ribosomal RNA, 550 nt
Filed under: uncultured bacterium
Lineage: Bacteria
Description: bacterial SSU rRNA
Rfam family: Bacterial small subunit ribosomal RNA
Source: RNAcentral
UAGGGAAUCUUCGGCAAUGGACGGAAGUCUGACCGAGCAACGCCGCGUGAGUGAAGAAGGUUUUCGGAUCGUAAAGCUCUGUUGUAAGAGAAGAAUGAGUGUGAGAGUGGAAAGUUCACACUGUGACGGUAUCUUACCAGAAAGGGACGGCUAACUACGUGCCAGCAGCCGCGGUAAUACGUAGGUCCCAAGCGUUGUCCGGAUUUAUUGGGCGUAAAGCGAGCGCAGGCGGUUAGAUAAGUCUGAAGUUAAAGGCUGUGGCUUAACCAUAGUACGCUUUGGAAACUGUUUAACUUGAGUGCAAGAGGGGAGAGUGGAAUUCCAUGUGUAGCGGUGAAAUGCGUAGAUAUAUGGAGGAACACCAGUGGCGAAAGCGGCUCUCUGGCUUGUAACUGACGCUGAGGCUCGAAAGCGUGGGGAGCAAACAGGAUUAGAUACCCUGGUAGUCCACGCCGUAAACGAUGAGUGCUAGGUGUUAGACCCUUUCCGGGGUUUAGUGCCGUAGCUAACGCAUUAAGCACUCCGCCUGGGGAGUACGACCGCAAGGUUG